GACGAACGCUGGCGGCGUGCUUAACACAUGCAAGUCGAACGGUGAAGCGAGUGCUUGCACUCGUGGAUCAGUGGCGAACGGGUGAGUAACACGUGAGUAACCUGCCCAUCACUCUGGGAUAAGCACUGAAAACGGUGUCUAAUACUGGAUACGACCAACCCUUGCAUGGGGUGUUGGUGGAAAGAUUUAUCGGUGAUGGAUGGACUCGCGGCCUAUCAGCUUGUUGGCGGGGUAAUGGCCCACCAAGGCGACGACGGGUAGCCGGCCUGAGAGGGUGACCGGCCACACUGGGACUGAGACACGGCCCAGACUCCUACGGGAGGCAGCAGUGGGGAAUAUUGCACAAUGGGCGAAAGCCUGAUGCAGCGACGCCGCGUGAGGGAUGACGGCCUUCGGGUUGUAAACCUCUUUCAGCAGGGAAGAAGCGAAAGUGACGGUACCUGCAGAAGAAGCACCGGCUAACUACGUG
This 469-nucleotide ribosomal RNA is filed under the name uncultured bacterium. RNAcentral describes it as "partial 16S ribosomal RNA". It matches the Rfam family "Bacterial small subunit ribosomal RNA", at positions 28 to 507 of the family's 1533-position model. The record is from RNAcentral.